RNAcentral lists this ribosomal RNA (795 nucleotides) under uncultured fungus. RNAcentral describes it as "eukaryotic LSU rRNA". It matches the Rfam family "Eukaryotic large subunit ribosomal RNA", at positions 24 to 664 of the family's 3401-position model. Lineage: Eukaryota; Fungi. The record is from RNAcentral.
CCCGCUGAACUUAAGCAUAUCAAUAAGCGGAGGAAAAGAAAGCAAAUGCGAUUCCCUUAGUAACGGCGAGUGAAAGGGGAGAAGCCCAUCGUGAAGGCCUGUUUCCGUGAGGAUUCGGGCGAUGCCACGAUAGUUAAGCGGGUAAGCGGUUGUUGGACUAGGGCUGUAAAUCUGCUUAAGUGCAGUGCCAUAGAAGGUCGAAGCCCUGUUUCGGCCCUGGUCCUUUUGCUGCGCUACCGUUUAAUAAGAGUCGGGUUACUUGAAAGUGUAACCUAAAGAUGCAGGUAGAUCCCUGCUAAGGCUAAAUACGUCCACCAGACCGAUAGCAAACAAGUACCGUGAGGGAAAGUUGCAAAGUACUUUGAAGAGAGAGUUAAAAGAACGUGAAACGGCUAACGGGUAAACGGUUGUAGUGGUCGGAAAAAUCGGCUGGCUUUCAUGAUUCCUGGGUUAAGGGUCUCUCUCUGAGAGAGCCUGUCCCGUGUAGGAGUCUGCAUUAGCCCGGUCGGUGCUGUCCUGCGGCGCUAGGAACGUGUGUGCUCGGCUUGUGAGGAGUUGUCGUGCGUUCAUUCCUUCGGGAGUGGAUAAUAAGCGCGGCUGCCUUGUCUUGCUAGUGCUACUGUUCUUAGUGCGGUAACCCUUUCUAGGGUACGUGAUGUUUGUCGAAGGGGCUGACCUGCGUUGGAGACGGGCUGUAGGUGAUAACACCGAAUGCUUGUGUUUAGCGCAAUAGGUUCUUGAGACAGGCGUUACCGCAGAUGAGACUAACUGUAACCGUCCCGUCUUGAAACACGG